RNAcentral lists this long non-coding RNA (4129 nucleotides) under Gossypium barbadense (sea-island cotton). Its description in RNAcentral is "long non-coding RNA (GBAR_LNC015572)". The record is from RNAcentral. Lineage: Eukaryota; Viridiplantae; Streptophyta; Magnoliopsida; Malvales; Malvaceae.
UUUAAGGGCAGAAGUUCAACCUUGCAUUCCUGGACAUCUUAAUGAGGAGCUUUCAGCUAACUUUAAAGAAGAUGAGUUGUGGGAAGCCUUAAAAACAAUGGCUCCUUUAAAAGCGUCAGGUAUGGAUGGGUUCCCUACUCUCUUUUUUCAAAAAUAUUUGCAUAUUAUAGGGAAGGAUGUAGCUAGAUUUUGUUUGGAAAUUUUGAACAAUGAGAAAGAGCCAAGCACUAUUAACAAUACAAACAUAGUUCUAAUCCCUAAAGUCAAUAAUCCAAAAAAGUGAGCCAAUUUAGGCCAAUCAGCCUUUGCAAUGUAGCAUAUAAAAUAAUCUCGAAAACUAUCGUCAAUAUAGAAAGGCUCAUAGCUACUGCAUUGAAGAAACACAAGGUGCUUUUGCCUAAGUAAACAGAUUACUGAUAACAUAUUAGUGGCAUACGAAUUGUUGCAUUCCUUUAAGAAGAAACAAUAUGGGAUUGGAAAUUUUGCCCUAAAACUAGACAUGAGCAAAUCAUACAAUAGGGUAGAGUGGACUUUCGUUGAAAACAUGAUGAGAAGGCUUGGUUUUUGUGAGAAGUGGGUUUCUUUAAUCAUUCGUUGCAUUAAAAGUGUCUCAUAUUCUAUUGUGUUUAAUGGUGGGAAAGGGAUUGAAUUCAAACCUUCUUGAGGAAUAAGGCAAAGAGACCUCUUAAGCCCAUAUCUUUUCAUCAUUUGCGCGGAGGGGUUCUGAAGACUUCUAAAUAAUGCACGAAGGGAAGGAAGAAUAAAAGGAGCAAGAAUUGAGAGAGGUGGUUUAUCAAUAACCCACUUAUUUUUUGUUGAUGAUAGCAUCUUAUUUGGAAAAGAAACAGUGGAGGGAGCAUUAGCCAUCAGGUCAAUGGUCAAUGAAUACGAAAAGAUAUCAAGUCAGAUGGUAAAUUUCAAGAAGUCAUUAAUUUAUUUUAGUAAGAAUGUUAACGAUGCGGUCAAAAGGUAGAUAGGGAGUGAUUUGAGGGUUCGAAUAACCAACAACCCAGAAAAAUACCUUGGACUUCCAACGAUGGUGGGAAGGAGGAAGAGAAGCGCCUUCGUUGAAAUUAAAGAAAAAUUCUUAACAAAAGUACAAAAUUUGAGUAUUUGUAAUUUAUCUGUUGGAGGAAAAAAAAAGUUUAUCAAAAAUUUUUUGCAAGCCAUUCCACAUGCUAUGCAAGUUCUCAAAUUACCAGUUUUAUUAUGUCGAGAGUUAGAGAACAUUAUGUGAAAAUUCUGGUGGCAAAAUUUGAAAACAAAUAAGGGUAUUAAUUGGUGUAGUUAGGCAUCAUCAUGUAUCCCUAAAGCGCAAUGGGGGAUUGGUUUUAGAGAUCUAUCGAGUUUUAAUAAAGCCUUGUUGGCAAAACAAAGGUGAAAGCUAAUCACCAACCCCACAAGUUUACUCGCGUAAGUAAUGAAGUCUAAAUACUACCCAAUAAGUGAUUUUCUUAAUGCCGAAUUAGGGGCUUACCCUUCAUUUAUCUGGAGGACCAUAUGGGGCACUCGAAGUGUUCUAGAAUCGAGCAUGAGAUGGAGAAUUGGAGAUGGAAAGUCAAUUAAUAUACGGAAUGAUCCUUGGCUCCCUAGAGAAGAAAAGUUACAGUUUCAAAAUAUUGUUUUACAAGUACACAUUAGUUGCAAAUCUAAUUUACCAUGAAUCUAAUACUUGGAGGGAGGAGACCUUGAGGAGGUUGUUCCCAAAAGAACAAGUUAAAAUAAUUGAGUCCAUUUCCCUAGGGAACUCUUUGCAACCAGAUAUCAAGAUUUGGUGAGGGGACAGACUAGGGGAGUAUAUGGCAGAAAAUGAUUACAAACAAUUUGUUACAGAAGAACUACACCUAUUGGGGAAUGAAAUUACAACAUUUUCGGAAAAUACUAGAAAAUAUUAUAUAAAGGUAUGGAGCUUAAAAGUCCCCAACAAGGUACCGAUUAAUCUAUGGAGAAUUGCAAGCAAUAAGUAAUUUAAAAGCUCGUAGACUAAGGUAUGAUGCCCUGUACCCAUUAUGCAGAGAAGAAGAAGAAUCAAUUAGCCAUUUAUUUAGAGAUUGCACCCUUGCGAAAUGAGUCCUCCAGCAAAUGGCAAUAACAGUGGCACACACAUGUCAAUCAAACAUGGAAACAGUGGUUAGCUGAGGCUUUCAAUAUCAACAAUGCAUACAGUUGUACAUGUCUACCAGUUCCACUAUGGGCAAUAUGGUAUAACAAAAACAAAUACUAUUACGAAGGUAUUUAACAAAGUUCAUACGAGAUUGUGGCUCUUAUUAAAGCAUACAUUACAGAGCUUGCCAUGCUGCAAGAAGCAACAACAUGCAAAUUCAUAUGGAGAAAACAUAGUGGGAACCCUUGACAGAAAGUCAUGUAAAGGUGAAUUUUGAUAUCACGUUUUACGAACAGAGCAACAAAGUAGUUCCGGGAAAAAUUAUCAGGAAUCGUAUGGGGCUAGUUAUGGGUUCAAGUACUUACGCAAUAAAUAAUAUCCAUGACCAGACAACCGCUGAAGCUUAUGCAUGUCUCCAAUGAGUGGUUUUUGAAAGAGAAAUGGGAUUUGACAAAGUUAUCAUUCAAGGCGAUUCAAGGACCGUCAUAAAAAAGCUACAAAAUCUGGAAUAUGAUAGAUUAGUAAUUGGGGGUAUUAUAAACGAUAUACAAGAAAAAACAUGAAACUUCAAACAUUUUGCGUUUCGUUGCGUACCAUGUGAAGCCAACGGGGCGGUGCACAGGUGGCUGCUUGGGGGAAAUGAAACAUCUAUCUGACUUACUAGUUAGAAGAAACGUCGUUGGAGUUUGAGCCCAUAGUUUUAAAAGAACAACGUUGAUUUGUUUAGAGGGAGUAAUAUCGAUGGUGUGGUGAACUGAGUCCGGAGAAAGUAAAGGUGUGAUUAGAGCUCCGAGGAACUCAGAAAAUGGUGGGAUUUGGGGAAAAAGGAUGAAGAUUGAAAUAUUAUGGUUACCAGGUCCAUCGACGAGCAAAGAUUCAGCAACAUAGUGACAGAACGAAAGGGGAAGGGAUAGUUAGGAUUAGGGUUUUUUUCAAUUUUUUUUUAGUAUUAUCUAGAAACAUUUUACUUUCACUACACCAGAACAGAUUUUUAGUGGCGUUUUUUUAGGCCUUUAGCGGUGCUUUUUAACGCCACUAAAGGCCUUUGCGGCGCUUGAAGAAGCACCACAAAAAAUGCCGCUAACGACAACGUCGCUAACUUUUGCGGCGCUUACAGAAAAAAACGCCGCUAAAGAUCAUGUUCUUUAGCGGCGCUUAUUUCACAAACGCCACUAUUUGAUAUGACUUUUAGCGGUGCCUUUUUAAAAAACGCCACUAAUUUUAGGAUUUUUUAAAAAUAAAAUUUUCUGUUUUUUUCAGCCCUCCUGCAACAACAAAUCAAAAGCAACCAGAUCUAAACUAACCAAAAACAAUAAAUUUAUAUAAUAUUUCAAAUUAAAUGACUAAAAUAAUAUUAAUUGAUAUAAAUAAAAGUGAAUUCAUACUUUUCUUUUCAAAAACGUUAAAAGUUAAAAUGAUAAAAAUAUUUAUGCAAUAUACACUAUGACGACGGAAGUUGCGACUGCUGAAACAUCUUCAUCAUAAUCUGAAGCUGCUGUUGAAGUUCGUCGUACUUUUUGCUCUGCUCUGCUUCUCUCGAUGCCGCAUCUUUUUGAAGUCGUAGCUGUAGUUCUUCAUAUUUCUUUUGAACCUCUACUUCUAUCGCUGCUUCUCUAGCUGCUUCUCUUGCUGCGGCCUUUGCUUCUCUCGCUGCGGCCUCUGCUUCUCUCGUUGUAGCCUCUGCUUCCCUCGCUGCCGCAUCUACUUUAAGUUGUUGCUGAAGUUCUUCAUAUUUCCUUUGAACCUAAAAUGUGGUCGCUUACAUCUGAGCCAUCUGGUCUUUUAACCUCUAAACUUUAGCUUGAAAUUGACUCCCCGAAGCCAUGUAUUGGUGCGAGCUGGAUCCAAAAUAUUGGGUUGGGCUGAUAAAAGAUCCUUGAAAUCAAACUCGACCAUACUUUUGAGGACCCAAAACUUCAGUAAUAAUCCGAUUAUCAAUGUCUUCAAGAUGAACAGAACUAUCACUAGAAGCAAUCGCUUCGUACUCCGUCUUUUUUUCCUUUAGUUUUUCCUAAUAAAUAAAUC